Amphimedon queenslandica is the source of this 397-nucleotide long non-coding RNA. RefSeq lists it as uncharacterized. NCBI's taxonomy places the organism in Eukaryota, Metazoa, Porifera, Demospongiae, Haplosclerida, Niphatidae. The transcript has 3 exons. The record is from RefSeq and is a predicted model, not a curated record.
UAAGAAACAGGAAGUCAGUUUCCAAUUAAAGCUGUACAAGAUCAAAGGAUGAUGUCAUAUCCUGUGUGCCAUGCUCUUGGCUAAAAUGGUGGUUCUAUGAAUGCUUGACUGUAUUUUUUAUUUUUUGAAAGUGGUCAUUUUAACCACAUUAGAUUCAAUCAGUGUCUUUGUUGAAGAGCUAUAUUACAAAAUGUGUUGGCCUCUCAUAUUUUUGUUGAACCACUUUUACUCGACUGUAGACUGGUUUGUACGCCUGGUCGUAUAAGAAGAAUAGGGUGGAUUUGAAAGAGACAUGAUCCUGUACAUACUGAGUUGAAAUGUGGCAGCAGCUCCUCUGAUAUUACCAUUGUAGACAAGGUAUAAAUCCCUUGGAAUCCUAUAUUUCAGUAAAUAAACU